CCUACGGGAGGCAGCAGUGAGGAAUAUUGGUCAAUGGGCGCAAGCCUGAACCAGCCAAGUAGCGUGCAGGCUGACGGCCCUACGGGUUGUAAACUUCUUUUAUAAAGGGAUAAAAUGCGCCACGUGUGCCUUUUUGUAUGUACUGUGUGAAUAAGGAUCGGCUAAUUCCGUGCCAGCAGCCGCGGUAAUACGGAGGGUCCGAGCUUUAUCCGGAUUUAUUGGGUUUAAAGGGAGAGUAUAUGGGUUGUUAAAUCAGUUGUGAAAGUUUGCGGCGCAACCGUAAAAUUGCAAUUGAAACUGGCAGCCUUGAGUACAGUGGAGGCAGGCGGAAUUCGUGGUGUAGCGGUGAAAUGCUUAGAUAUCACGAAGAACCCCGAUUGCGAAGGCAGCUUACUAAACUGCCACUGACAGUGAUGCUCGAAAGUGUGGGUAUUAAACAGGAUUAGAUACCCCUGUAGUC
Molecule: ribosomal RNA, 460 nt
Filed under: uncultured bacterium
Lineage: Bacteria
Description: partial 16S ribosomal RNA
Rfam family: Bacterial small subunit ribosomal RNA
Source: RNAcentral